GUCCAAAGACCCGUUCAUUUUAGAAGAGCUUCUCUGCUGUCAGAAUUCAGUUCUGCUGAACACCUUGUCAACAUGAUGAUCAGAAUUGUGCUUGGAGUCAUUGCAGCGAUUGGAUUCCUCACUCUCAGUGAAGCCCUGACGUGUAAUUCAUGUAAAGUGGGCAUUUUAGGCAAAUGUUUAUUGAGCUCCCAAGUGUCCUGUGCUGCCUCCGAGCUCAACUGCUUCACUGCAAAAGCAGAGUUCAAUGUGACUGGGUUUCUGAGUCUGUCCUCAAGUGGCUGCACAUCUGAUUGCAACAACACCGCCGGGACCGUCCUGGGAGCGGGAUACACCGUGACCAAAACCUGCUGCGCCACAGAUCUGUGCAACGGAGCAAGUGCUGCGCAGCUGUCCAUGGCUGGGGCUCUCAGCGCCGCACUACUGGCCUCUGUCUGCAGUUUCAUGCUGUAGAUGUUACACCUCCUUGUCUGCACACUGUUAUGUUCACAAUACCUCCUUGAAUCGGAAUCAGUGAAGAUAUAAUCUAGAAUGCAUAGAUCCCAUAACUUACUGUAACUUUAAAUGUUUACUCCACUGUUUUUACUUUUCUCAUUGCUAAUAUGCAGUAAUAAUUUUUUUAAAUAAUCAUUUAUAUACAAUGCAAAACAUAUUUAAAAUUACAACAGUUUAGCUGAUGUCAUUUUUAAUAAAAACCUACAUUUGGAUGUACUCUUUGGAAUGAGGUGAUGAUAUAUUUGAGGUGGGGCUGAAUAAACAGAAACAUCACAGCAAUGACUCUGGGUUAGGUACUAGCUUUGGGAUUUUUGAUUUUUUGAUAUUGAUUUUACAUAUCUAGUAAAUGAUAACAGAGUUGUAAUUUUUGGGUGAACUAUCCCUUGACUUUAUAUUUAUUCUAGCACAUUGUAACAUUAGAUUAAUAAACAUGGUAAAAAAAAAACUGUAAACUGUUCUUUCAGUUAUGUUUUUGUUAGUAUUAACUGUGACCAAAUGUAACCUUAUUGUGAAGUGUUACCAUUAAACUAACUUAACAUAUCUCUUUUAACAUAUCACCUUUUUGUGAAGAUAUUUUUAUGUAUAUCUAAUACAGCUUCUUUAUGCCAUCAUAAUUUAAUGUAAUUAAAUGUAAUCAUCACUUUAAUGUAAGUCAGACAUUUUUAAAACUAUAAGAUUAAAUAUUAAAACAAUAUUUACAGCAUAUUAAAUGAAAUAUUUUUAAUUAUCUUUAGUCAGAUAUAUGUGGACCAAAUGUCCCAGCAGUAAGAAUUCAUUAGGGAUUGUUUGCAUGGUCUCCAGUGGGAGAUCCGGACAGUAGUGUUGGGUCCGAGUCCACCUUGUUGAGUCCUCGUCUUUAACCAG
RNAcentral lists this long non-coding RNA (1356 nucleotides) under Sinocyclocheilus anshuiensis. RNAcentral's name for it is "lncRNA (ENSSANG00000030815.1)". Lineage: Eukaryota; Metazoa; Chordata; Actinopteri; Cypriniformes; Cyprinidae. The record is from RNAcentral.